AGAUCUGUUCAGUGAUGGUAGAGCUUGCCUAUUUAUGCAGAAGCUCGUGUGCCAAUAUGGCAUGCAUGUAAUACAUGUGAGCUUUUCACUUGGUGGGUCACACUAUUGAGCUCUUUUGGUCUAAAAUGAGGCCAUUUCACUCAUCAGGCAUGCCACACUAUUUAGAUCUUCUGGCCAAGAAGUCAGGUAGUUUCACUCCUCAGUUGGGCUAAUUUUAUUAUUAUUAUUAUUUUUUUUUUUUACAGAACAAACAGUUGAUAGAAAAAUUUGUUUUAUCUACCCACUUGUUUUACACAAUGUGACCCACCUGAGUGGUAAACUAAAAGUUGAAACAAACUGAUUUUAUUUUUUUUAGAAAAUCUAGGCAGUGUGACCCAGUCAACGAGGCUAAUCAUGUUGCUCCGAAUUGUUGGAACCGGUUCAACCAUUCCUAUCAAGCAGAAGUGAUUCCCCAAGCAUCGGUACCGAUGAUAGUGACUGACCCACAAGACCUAGAGUGGAUACUUGACACUAGAGCAAGCCCUUAUAUAACCAACAAUGCAGGUCUUUCAAAUACUAUUCACCCUUAUUUAGGAAAAUAAUAAAAUUAUUAUUGGUGAUGGAAAAAAGUUAUACGCAUGUGGGCUCUAUGUUAGCUACUCCGAGGAACUUCCACAUUCGCUAGAAGGAAAUCAAACACAAGCACUUCCAAAGAUCAUCCCCAAAUAGGACAUCUCCCAUCACAUUCCUUUCCUCACAUAUCACAUGAAUUCCUUAAAACACUAGUAGGGCAAACAAGAUAACACAGCUCCAAAGCCAUCCAACCUAAAUGCAAGAACCUAAUACCAUGAACAAUCAUAUACCUAUCUAGGAUUGGGUGAAGGCACCGAGAGCCUGAUGGUUGAGACCUUUUAUUCCAACUUUUUGCUGGUUCCCAUUCACAAGAUGACCACUUAACCUUUCACAUGUUGCAACCAAGGAAUCCAUCCAUGUAACACAUAAAAUAAUGAGUCGGGAUCCUCUGUUAUUCGGUAAACAGGGACUUCCUAAUUGCCUAAUCCUCAUUGGUCCACGUCACCACUCCCUUAAAAAAAACUAAAACAAAAAAUCGGACUCCAAACUAUUAUGGAAAAAGCCAAAGGAAUUAAAAAAAUAAUUAAAAAAUAAAAAAAAAACGAAAAAGAGAAGAAAAACCCAAGGAAAUGAAAGAAAAUCCUCAGAGAGAGAAAUGAAAUGAUGUCUGCUUCUCCCAUUUCUCUACUUUCACAGGUCCCGAAAAAAUCCUCAAAUCCAAAACUCUAAUUUCCAGCUCCAGAUCUCAUUCAUAUCCGUUGCUGGUCUAAUCUCCCUUCACUCACCUUCCAUCUCAUCAUCAUCAUCAGAUUUCUAGAAGCUUAUCUGCAUCGGUCUCCAUGCAGCAGCAGAUCCGCACAAGCUCGAACGAUCUUGUUUCUUCGAUUCUUUCCAAGUAGAGUUGGCUACCGAAAGUUUAGAUGAGAAUGCAAACCAAGAGCAAUCAGAGAUGGUUUUCCAGAUGACUGAAAUUGAUGAUAUGCAGGCCCCUCGUGACCUUUCGCUUGCACAACUUUUAUCAAGAGUCCUCUAGUGGUGGUUCGCCCUUGAAUAAUUAUAGAAGACGCACAGGAGAAGUUAUCGAUAUAGCUGUCGGAUGUGUAGGUGGACUAUUGAUACAUGCAUCCAUUUUCUAUCUAUGGUGGAUGAAGGAUGCACCUGGCCAUAUGCGAGUGCGCACAGACUCACCAAGAAAAGGAUGAUGACCUUUUCUUUAUAUUUUCAGCAUUAUUG
Magnolia sinica is the source of this 1785-nucleotide long non-coding RNA. RefSeq lists it as uncharacterized. Lineage: Eukaryota; Viridiplantae; Streptophyta; Magnoliopsida; Magnoliales; Magnoliaceae. The record is from RefSeq and is a predicted model, not a curated record. The transcript is spliced from 3 exons.